CGAUAUGAUGAAAUGGCACUGGGCUCCGAAUUUUAAACCACAUGAGUCGAUACGCCAAUUUGUGGCAGGCCUAGAAAACCUCGCCCACUGAUC
Molecule: small nucleolar RNA, 93 nt
Organism: Rosellinia necatrix
Lineage: Eukaryota; Fungi; Ascomycota; Sordariomycetes; Xylariales; Xylariaceae
Rfam family: A. fumigatus snoRNA Afu_513
Source: Rfam